CUGCAGUGUUUGACUGCGACUCUACGUCUGCCAUAAUAAGGAGCUUCACAAAUUCUAAAAGCAAUCGCAUUGAAACAGAUACCAUCAUUUUCUCAAGACUUUUUGCGGUAUAUUGACAAAUUUCUGAUUUGAACAAGCUCUUCUCUCGACACAGAUAACAGACUGUUACCUGGAAACAUGUCGAUAUGCUGAUGCAAAAAAGUGUUUGAAUAAAAUACUCAAAAAAGAAAUCAAAGAGAAGGAGAAAUUUGCACGCGUCCUAACCUACAAAGCAUGGUACGAGCAGCAACUAGGAAAGUGUGACAAAGCUGUCAAACUUUACAGGAAGGCUGCCAGUUACACCGAGGACAACCUUCGAAAAGCAAAGAAAAACCUUUUAAAGGUUUCGGUAUGAUGGAAAUGUUAUUUUCAAAAGAUCAUCCAUGGCUUGUAGAAACGUAUGAGCUGCUCUAUGAAUUGCAUAUGAAAGAUGGCGAGCAGAAAGAGGCGGAAAAUUAUGAAGCGAGAAUCACAUCCAUUUUCAUUUUGUACUGCCUAUAAGGUUUAUGCAAAUAUGUAUUGAAUGGUGGAAGUUAUUGACUAAUAUUUAAAAAUAUGGAUAUUAAAUAUGAUAUUAUUACUUGA
This is a long non-coding RNA of Xenia sp. Carnegie-2017, 624 nucleotides long. RefSeq lists it as uncharacterized. The transcript has 2 exons. NCBI's taxonomy places the organism in Eukaryota, Metazoa, Cnidaria, Anthozoa, Malacalcyonacea, Xeniidae. The record is from RefSeq and is a predicted model, not a curated record.